GCAUACUUAGUAAAAGAAAAACAAUCAUAUAAAUCAUGAUUAGUAUUCUUAACCAUAUCUAGGUUUUAUUAAGUCUUUUACUGACCUCCGAGCGAAGCUGUUACAAUAUAUAUUCAUUGAGAGCAUAAGGGAUCCCCAGCUACCGUUGUGAAUCACCAACUCAUUCCCAAACCAUUCUCAUUUCCCCAUCUAAACUAUGACCAAGGUCAUACUUUAUCACUGUGGUCCUACGUGUACCUAACACAUUUUCUCUCUUGUUAGAGGGACCACC
Molecule: long non-coding RNA, 271 nt
Filed under: Carica papaya (papaya)
Lineage: Eukaryota; Viridiplantae; Streptophyta; Magnoliopsida; Brassicales; Caricaceae
Description: long non-coding RNA (CPAP_LNC011050)
Source: RNAcentral